Perognathus longimembris pacificus (Pacific pocket mouse) is the source of this 3526-nucleotide long non-coding RNA. RefSeq lists it as uncharacterized. The transcript is spliced from 2 exons. The record is from RefSeq and is a predicted model, not a curated record. Lineage: Eukaryota; Metazoa; Chordata; Mammalia; Rodentia; Heteromyidae.
GCUCAGGUGGUUUGAGUACCGGUCUUAGGAGGAAAAAGCUAGGAGAAAUCAGAGUUCAAGCCUGAACAUUAGGCACAAUAAACAAACAAACAAAUAAAAUAAAAUAAAAAUCACAUGGUAGCAGCAUCACUUAAUCGUUUUAGUCAAGAAAGCUACCUACUACUUUACAGACUUCAAGCAUGGGAAACAUUAGGAAUGUAAUGCUUUUAUUCUCUUUUUGUCAAAGACAUUCAUUUACCUAUUCAUGCAAAUACAUACCAAGUCCCUAAUAUUGUGACAGAUACCGUGCUAGCAACUGAGGAUAUAGUGAUAAAUCAAACAGAACUGCCCUUGAUCUCACAGACUUAUGAUCUACUGGAAAGAAAGGUGUCAUAAAAAAAACACACACUACUAAAUGUCAGAAGGCAGUUGUGUUAAGCUAAAACUUAAAGCAAGUGGUAGUGGAGUUUGCAAGGGAUGGGUAAUGAGGAGGAGGGUGGAAUUUUAAACAGAAGACAGACAGCCUGGAGGAUUUGAAUUGUAUGCAUUUUUUUUCUAAGUGCAAUGGAAAGUGAUUAAUAAGCAGGGCAGACAUGGGAUCAGAUUUCUGUUCUAAAAGGCAUGAAUGAAGAGCAAGAAAUGGGAACAUGUGGAUUAUGGAGAUGGGAAGAAAUGAAGAUGAGCUUGUGAUAUAGUUUGGAGAUGAAUGAGUUGUGAGCAUCAAGGAUGACCCUGGCGGCUGGAGCAAGUGACAAAGCAAGGUGUUAUACUACAGCAAAAGGAGCAACUGGAGGCAUGGGCUUAGCUGACAAGUAGAGGAUCAAAAAGAAUCAUUUUGAAGAAAAGGUAAAUCGUUAAAGAUGCCUGGAGACCUCCAUAUGCAAAUGUCAUGGGAGCAUGAAACAAAUAUGUGAUCUACAUGCCAUUUUGCCCUUGAGAUCUAAUGCAUUAGCUUAAGUCUGCCUGGCUCCCUUUGAAGGAGUUGCUACUCCUGUCUGUCUCAUCUGUGGGCCCAGCCCAUCCUCCUGUCAAGAAGCAGCACAUGGGAUGGGAAUGCAGGUUGUCUCUAAGAACCAUGGGCAAUGGUCCUUCUCAACUACAGCAAAUUAUAUACAAUAUUAUAUGUAUUAUGAAUUUCCUAUUUCUUAUAAGUUAUAUAGAAAUGUUAAAAUAUAUAACUUAUAUUAUGAAUAUAAUUUUAAUGAUUUGUAAUUUUAAUAUAAAAAAGGCAAAUACAGUUGCUAAAGGUUUUGUCUCUCUUAUAUGCUGGAGAUUGAGACCAGGGCUUCAUGCAUGAUACAUACAUUCUAUCACCAAGGCUUAUUCCUUGUCCCAUUUCUAAGAUUUUACAUGCUGAUAUUUUGUCACUUCAUAUGUGUCUUAUAAGAAAAAAAAGUCUUAAAUGUACAAGUCUUUUUUUUAGGAUAGAGCCUAGAUUAUUAAGUGUGCUCAUCUACCAUUCCUUGGAUAGAUAAUGUAAAUCAUUAAUUUUCUAAUCACAUUUUGACCAACUAAUGCUAUUUUGAAAAUUACAAUAUGGUUCAAAAUCACUGGUUACAAAAGACCCCAAACCUAAUAAUCCCUAAUUUGAUUUGGUUUCACUUUUGGCUUUUUUAAAAUACUGGGGUUUGAACUAAUGACCUGUACUUGUUAGGCAGAUGUUCUACCUUUUGAGCUAUACUAUCACACACACACACACACACCCAAAAAAUGAUGAAUUACCAUGAUUCCAAAUCUUUUGUUUGUUGAAAAGUUCCACUGAUCUAAAUAAGCAAAAACUGCAGAAGCAGCCUUGUUGAACUUGAUUUCUGGCAGGGUAACAUUUAACACCAGGGUGAUUGCCAAAUUAAAAGAUGACAUCAUCCACAUCUGCUGAUUCAUGGGGAAGGGGGAAAAUGGGAGGAAGCGGAGAGAGAUGGGCGAGUCAUGAUUACCUUUUGCUGGAAAGUAGACUACUGAGUAGACAAUUACAUGACAACUGCAUGAAAAGCGCUGGUAGCCAGUGAAAAAUGGAGAAGAGGGGCUUGGAGAACCGCUAUCUGAGGAGACACUGCACUUACUAGAUGGACAAAUCAAAGGCAAGGUUCUAUCUAUCCAGGGAAACUGAGGACAUCGUCCCUUCCUUUGUUCUGAGUACUUGUUUUUCAUGUCUAAAUUCACUCACAAUCAUUAAUUUCUCAAUCACACUUUCCCAAAAUAUACUAAAAAUCAUCCUAAAGCCAUUUUAAAAAUAAUGCCUGCUAUUGUAGACAUAUUAUUACUAUUUCAUACCUCUGUGAAUGUAAAAUACCUUGUACUUGGUGUUAUGAUACAUAGUAGUGAGUGACGGUGCUUUAUCAGAGCUGCUUUUAAUGAUGUUGUGUUAUUCAGGAAUGUUUUCUUUUCAGGUAAUGAGUGAGAAGCUAAUAAAAAAUGGUACUAGGUACCACAACAGUAACAGAACUUCUCAUUUUUCUGGUGCAUUUGUCCUUAAACUUGUGUUUUUUCAUUAAUGGUAUGUGCUGGAUGCCUCUAAUUUUGUCCAGAUGACUGGCAGGACCUGGAAAAGCUGUUGCUACUAUUGAUGCAUACCAAAUUGCUAUUGUUGGUCUUUUAAUAUGAAUAUAAAUAUAUACAUAUAAUUUGAAUUUUUGGAAAUUUUAGGUGUGUGGUCAACUUUGGAAAAAGUAUCCCAGUUUACUGUGUUGAGUUGUACAGAACUUAAUAACCAUAUUGGCCUAGAAAUGUUCAAUUUAACUUUUUCCAUUUUUACAGGGGCAAACUCACUGUAUUAAAUAUGUAAAGUUUUAUUUACAGGUUUGAUUACAGAAACUAAUCAAAUAUUCUCUAACAUUUUAAACAGCCAAUACAAGUAUGUGAGCACAAUUUGUGUGUGUGUAUAUAUGUGCUUAAUAGCAUUACCUGUAAGUUUUGACUAUGAGCUUAAAUAUAAGUAUUAAUAUGCCUAGGGUAUCAAGUUAUAAUGAAUUAAAUAUUUAGUCAUGAGCCAUGCCCAUUUUUACAGAUCUAAGUCUCUAAAGGAAAGAAUGAAAACAAAAAAAAAAUGUUGUCAGUUACUGCAAAUGAAACAUUUAUUCAGUAAUUACCUUCUCAGUACCUGAUAUGUGUAAGCAAACAUGUCAGACAUGGUAGGUAAGGUAAUCAACUGCUGAGCCAAAAUUCAGACAGUUUGAGAGUAUGAAUGGACCCAUAGAGAUAAUUACUAAUGAUAGUGCUAAUAACAGCUAAUAAUAUUAACUUUUAUUGUGAUUAUCAUGUGAAUGGUUCUCAACUAAAUACUUUUAAGCAUUAUUUUUAAUUGUGGUAUAAUAUACAUAAAAUUUACCAUCUUAACUGAUUUUUUGUGCACAAAUCAGUUAAGCACAUUCACUCUUACCUACCAUUCCUAUCAGCCAUGAUCAUCCCAAACUCAAACUCUGCAGCCAUUAGACAACAACUCUCCAGACAACCACCACUCUACUAGAAGAUUAUGACUUCCUAAGGAUAGCCAACAAUACAUUUCUUCUAUUUGAAUGUAAGGCUUCUUUUUCAACUAAGACACUAAAAU